UGCAAGUCGAGCGGUAGAGAGGUGCUUGCACCUCUUGAGAGCGGCGGACGGGUGAGUAAUGCCUAGGAAUCUGCCUGGUAGUGGGGGAUAACGCUCGGAAACGGACGCUAAUACCGCAUACGUCCUACGGGAGAAAGCAGGGGACCUUCGGGCCUUGCGCUAUCAGAUGAGCCUAGGUCGGAUUAGCUAGUUGGUGGGGUAAUGGCUCACCAAGGCGACGAUCCGUAACUGGUCUGAGAGGAUGAUCAGUCACACUGGAACUGAGACACGGUCCAGACUCCUACGGGAGGCAGCAGUGGGGAAUAUUGGACAAUGGGCGAAAGCCUGAUCCAGCCAUGCCGCGUGUGUGAAGAAGGUCUUCGGAUUGUAAAGCACUUUAAGUUGGGAGGAAGGG
RNAcentral lists this ribosomal RNA (394 nucleotides) under Pseudomonas sp. EP_S_41. RNAcentral's name for it is "bacterial SSU rRNA". It matches the Rfam family "Bacterial small subunit ribosomal RNA", at positions 56 to 452 of the family's 1533-position model. The record is from RNAcentral. Lineage: Bacteria; Pseudomonadati; Pseudomonadota; Gammaproteobacteria; Pseudomonadales; Pseudomonadaceae.